Molecule: long non-coding RNA, 1608 nt
Organism: Hippocampus zosterae (dwarf seahorse)
Lineage: Eukaryota; Metazoa; Chordata; Actinopteri; Syngnathiformes; Syngnathidae
Exons: 2
Source: RefSeq, a predicted model, not a curated record
GCAGGUAGUCUCCCCACUUACCGGCUCCUCCACAUUUAGCUCCUUAGAUGCCAACUUGAACGUCUCGUUUUUCUUCUGGAACACGUCAAUGGCGUCCCGGAUGACCUGGAGAACAAAUGUGAAGUUCAUAUUUUCCCACACCAGGAUGUGGACCAACCAGUGUCCGAUGCAGUCUUCCAGGUCAGGCAGCAGGAACUGACUGUGGAAGGAGUAGAUAGAUGAAAUGUUGGAGAAGAUGUUUCGGACCACGUCGGCCGGAAAGGAGCCACGUCCGGCCUCGUCCGUUAAUUGCAGACAGAAAACCUGCAAAGGGAAUACUGGUGUAAGACUUUUCAAGACCAUAGACUUUCAAGACCCCCCCCACUGACCUGGUCCAGGAGGUGAAGGCGGGCAACGUAGGCCCUCUCCGUGUGAAGGAGUUCACUGACUAUUUUGAACAGCUUUUGCUCCGUGUUCUCCUCCUUUAGCCCCUCAGUCUUCUUCUCAACGCUCUCCUUGCAGUUUUGGUCUUCACGUGGAGUCUCAGUCCAUUUGCAAGAGAACCGGGAUCCCACGCGGACCUUGGAGCCUUCAUCGGCACGGAUGGGAUCGGUUUGUAGGUUCGGAGUGACUUCGCGCUCGGUGCGAUUGAGUCUCUGGUCCGUUGGGGCUUUGACGGUGAUGGUGGGUCGACUGCGCAAGGCAGAACCUUCUGCCAUAUCCGAUGGAGUUCUGGAAAAACGAACCUGGCGUUAUUGAGUCGCAGUGCGAGAAAGAACUGAAUCGCAAAUCGCAGGCCAGAGUUAUUGUCAUGACGGACAGUAACAGUUCUGGACCAAAAGAAAUACCGCGACUUAAGAGUCGAAUGAAAGUUUUGUACAAAAAUCAAGAAGUAGACUCUAUAAAACCAAAAAUCCAACCUUUCAUCCAAGUACACGAUGAGAUCCGGCACACUCAAAGACUUCCCAGAGUGCUUCUUUUGUCCCUCAGUCUUCCCGCUUGGGAUCCUGUUCAAUCCCAGCCAGGAUUUUGAGUUACUGGCAGGGGUGUAGCUGCCCAUCUUUCCCUGAAUGGGGCUCGGGGUUUUCAGUAGUCCUGAGAGGGGGCUUCGGUUUUUCGGGGACAACUUGGCCGGACUGUGGCCUCCCUCCCUCAAGGGACUGCAUUUGUGGAUACCUCUCUUGCCCGAACUUGGAGACAACAAUGCCGGACUGCUCGCAAGUUUGGGGAUCUUCUGAGAAGGGGACAGGCUGGUAGGGCUUAAACGUGGCUCACUGAGAAAACCCGGUCCCAGUUUGUUAGGACUACGGCACAUGUGGUAGCAUGUCGCUUGGGUCGGCGUGUUGUCUUCAUUCAAAUGCCAUGGGGGGAGCCCAGAUGAAGACGGUAGUCCACUCCUCAUUGGAGUCUGGAGGUGCGCAGGCUUUGGAGGCACUGCAAGUACACAGAAAGCAUCUCAUGUCAGAAUCGACUCUGUUGAGCUCAAAGCAGACUUGAGCUCACCUUGUGGCUUGCAGGGAGUUUUCUUGGAUGGACUUAUUCCAUCUUGGCGUUUGGAAUUGGGCGCUGAUUCGCAGGUGCUGUUGCAAGAACCGCCGCUUACCACUGAAAUAAACGUGCACCGUUUUA